AUUGAACGCUGGCGGCAUGCCUUACACAUGCAAGUCGAACGGCAGCACGGGUGCUUGCACCUGGUGGCGAGUGGCGAACGGGUGAGUAAUACAUCGGAACAUGUCCUGUAGUGGGGGAUAGCCCGGCGAAAGCCGGAUUAAUACCGCAUACGAUCUACGGAUGAAAGCGGGGGACCUUCGGGCCUCGCGCUAUAGGGUUGGCCGAUGGCUGAUUAGCUAGUUGGUGGGGUAAAGGCCUACCAAGGCGACGAUCAGUAGCUGGUCUGAGAGGACGACCAGCCACACUGGGACUGAGACACGGCCCAGACUCCUACGGGAGGCAGCAGUGGGGAAUUUUGGACAAUGGGCGAAAGCCUGAUCCAGCAAUGCCGCGUGUGUGAAGAAGGCCUUCUGGUUGUAAAGCACUUUUGUCCGGAAAGAAAUCCUUGGCCCUAAUACGGUCGGGGGAUGACGGUACCGGAAGAAUAAGCACCGGCUAACUACGUG
RNAcentral lists this ribosomal RNA (486 nucleotides) under uncultured bacterium. RNAcentral's name for it is "partial 16S ribosomal RNA". It matches the Rfam family "Bacterial small subunit ribosomal RNA", at positions 30 to 507 of the family's 1533-position model. The record is from RNAcentral.